ACAGUGACGGCGGGCAUGACCUUCUUUCAGAGGUCAGGUUUCCCCACACAAUGAUGCACACCGGGAAGCACUCGCGAUCGAAAGUGUGCCUAAGCGCGGGCCCUGGAUGAUCAGGGCGAAAUACGGUUGGAUCUGUCUCUUCUACCCUCGCCUUCUUCGCUGACCCAGAAGUUGCAGCGCCUUUCUGCUCGUGGGCUCUGAGAUUCUGGGCCAACAUCCGAGCCGUAUC
RNAcentral lists this long non-coding RNA (229 nucleotides) under Elaeis guineensis (African oil palm). RNAcentral describes it as "long non-coding RNA (EGUI_LNC061096)". The record is from RNAcentral. Lineage: Eukaryota; Viridiplantae; Streptophyta; Magnoliopsida; Arecales; Arecaceae.